UACGUAGGGUGCAAGCGUUAAUCGGAAUUACUGGGCGUAAAGCGUGCGCAGGCGGUUUUGUAAGUCUGUCGUGAAAGCCCCGGGCUCAACCUGGGAAUUGCGAUGGAGACUGCAAGGCUUGAAUCUGGCAGAGGGGAGUAGAAUUCCACGUGUAGCAGUGAAAUGCGUAGAGAUGUGGAGGAACACCGAUGGCGAAGGCAGCCCCCUGGGUCAAGAUUGACGCUCAUGCACGAAAGCGUGGGGAGCAAACAGG
This 253-nucleotide ribosomal RNA is filed under the name uncultured bacterium. RNAcentral's name for it is "partial 16S ribosomal RNA". It matches the Rfam family "Bacterial small subunit ribosomal RNA", at positions 524 to 776 of the family's 1533-position model. The record is from RNAcentral.